This 73-nucleotide transfer RNA is filed under the name Caldifarciminota bacterium. RNAcentral's name for it is "tRNA-Glu". It matches the Rfam family "tRNA". Rfam says of the family: Transfer RNA (tRNA) molecules are approximately 80 nucleotides in length. Lineage: Bacteria; Pseudomonadati; Caldifarciminota. RNAcentral also lists the same sequence under 1 other name. The record is from RNAcentral.
GGCCCCAUCGUCUAAGAGGUUAGGACACCGCUCUUUCAAGGCGGCAGCAGGGGUUCGAGUCCCCUUGGGGCCA